RNAcentral lists this ribosomal RNA (254 nucleotides) under uncultured bacterium. RNAcentral's name for it is "partial 16S ribosomal RNA". It matches the Rfam family "Bacterial small subunit ribosomal RNA", at positions 524 to 776 of the family's 1533-position model. The record is from RNAcentral.
GACGUAGGGCGCGAGCGUUGUCCGGAUUUAUUGGGCGUAAAGAGCUCGUAGGCGGCUUGUCGCGUCGAAUGUGAAAUCCCGUGGCUCAACUGCGGGUCUGCACUCGAUACGGGCAGGCUAGAGUUCGGUAGGGGAGACUGGAAUUCCUGGUGUAGCGGUGAAAUGCGCAGAUAUCAGGAGGAACACCGGUGGCGAAGGCGGGUCUCUGGGCUGAUACUGACGGCUGAGGCACGAAGGCCAGGGGAGCAAACGGG